UACGGGGGGGGCUAGCGUUGUUCGGAAUUACUGGGCGUAAAGGGCGCGUAGGCGGCGUGACAAGUCACUUGUGAAAUCUCUGAGCUUAACUCAGAACGGCCAAGUGAAACUGUUGUGCUAGAGUGCAGAAGGGGCAAUCGGAAUUCUUGGUGUAGCGGUGAAAUGCGUAGAUAUCAAGAGGAACACCUGAGGUGAAGACGGGUUGCUGGGCUGACACUGACGCUGAGGCGCGAAAGCCAGGGGAGCAAACGGG
Molecule: ribosomal RNA, 253 nt
Filed under: uncultured bacterium
Lineage: Bacteria
Description: partial 16S ribosomal RNA
Rfam family: Bacterial small subunit ribosomal RNA
Source: RNAcentral